GAUAAACGCUGGCGGCGUGCCUAAUACAUGCAAGUCGAGCGAACAGACGAGGAGCUUGCUCCUCUGACGUUAGCGGCGGACGGGUGAGUAACACGUGGAUAACCUACCUAUAAGACUGGGAUAACUUCGGGAAACCGGAGCUAAUACCGGAUAAUAUAUUGAACCGCAUGGUUCAAUAGUGAAAGACGGUUUUGCUGUCACUUAUAGAUGGAUCCGCGCCGCAUUAGCUAGUUGGUAAGGUAACGGCUUACCAAGGCAACGAUGCGUAGCCGACCUGAGAGGGUGAUCGGCCACACUGGAACUGAGACACGGUCCAGACUCCUACGGGAGGCAGCAGUAGGGAAUCUUCCGCAAUGGGCGAAGGCCUGACGGAGCAACGCCGCGUGAGUGAUGAAGGUCUUCGGAUCGUAAAACUCUGUUAUUAGGGAAGAACAAAUGUGUAAGUAACUAUGCACGUCUUGACGGUACCUAAUCAGAAAGCCACGGCUAACUACGUG
This 497-nucleotide ribosomal RNA is filed under the name uncultured bacterium. Its description in RNAcentral is "partial 16S ribosomal RNA". It matches the Rfam family "Bacterial small subunit ribosomal RNA", at positions 28 to 507 of the family's 1533-position model. The record is from RNAcentral.